CAGCCUGAUGCAGCCAUGCCGCGUGUGUGAAGAAGGCCUUCGGGUUGUAAAGCACUUUCAGUCGUGAGGAAGGUUUAUGCGUUAAUAGCGUAUAGAUUUGACGUUAGCGACAGAAGAAGCACCGGCUAACUCCGUGCCAGCAGCCGCGGUAAUACGGAGGGUGCGAGCGUUAAUCGGAAUUACUGGGCGUAAAGCGCAUGCAGGUGGUUUGUUAAGUCAGAUGUGAAAGCCCGGGGCUCAACCUCGGAAUAGCAUUUGAAACUGGCAGACUAGAGUACUGUAGAGGGGGGUAGAAUUUCAGGUGUAGCGGUGAAAUGCGUAGAGAUCUGAAGGAAUACCGGUGGCGAAGGCGGCCCCCUGGACAGAUACUGACACUCAGAUGCGAAAGCGUGGGGAGCAAACAGGAUUAGAUACCCUGGUAGUCCACGCCGUAAACGAUGUCUACUUGGAGGUUGUGGCCUUGAGCCGUGGCUUUCGGAGCUAACGCGUUAAGUAGACCGCCUGGGGAGUACGGUCGCAAGAUUAAAACUCAAAUGAAUUGACGGGGGCCCGCACAAGCGGUGGAGCAUGUGGUUUAAUUCGAUGCAACGCGAAGAACCUUACCUACUCUUGACAUCCAGAGAAUUUUCCAGAGAUGGAUUAGUGCCUUCGGGAACUCUGAGACAGGUGCUGCAUGGCUGUCGUCAGCUCGUGUUGUGAAAUGUUGGGUUAAGUCCCGCAACGAGCGCAACCCUUAUCCUUGUUUGCCAGCGAGUAAUGUCGGGAACUCCAGGGAGACUGCCGGUGAUAAACCGGAGGAAGGUGGGGACGACCUC
This 815-nucleotide ribosomal RNA is filed under the name uncultured bacterium. RNAcentral describes it as "bacterial SSU rRNA". It matches the Rfam family "Bacterial small subunit ribosomal RNA", at positions 379 to 1186 of the family's 1533-position model. The record is from RNAcentral.